GUCACUCUAAAAUUAUUGACGGAGCUGCUGCCGAGCCUAUUUACAGUUGCGGCUGCUUCAUUUUGUUAAUUUAGAGUUAGAAUCUGAGUUUACUGGUGGCUCU
This is a non-coding RNA of Arachis ipaensis, 103 nucleotides long. Lineage: Eukaryota; Viridiplantae; Streptophyta; Magnoliopsida; Fabales; Fabaceae. The record is from RefSeq and is a predicted model, not a curated record.